Molecule: long non-coding RNA, 238 nt
Filed under: Dasypus novemcinctus (nine-banded armadillo)
Lineage: Eukaryota; Metazoa; Chordata; Mammalia; Cingulata; Dasypodidae
Description: lncRNA (ENSDNOG00000050900.1)
Source: RNAcentral
GGAGAAGAGCUGUUUCUUUCUCCUUUGAGAAAUCCGCUCCCCUGAGACUUGGAAGCAGGAGGUCAUGCAGGAGACAGGCCAGGAUAACGCAGCCUGGAACACGUCCCCCAGUCCUGCGCAGGAGGACGCCGCAGAAGCUUUUCCAUCUACGUUUUCCCACGAGGGAGGAGAGGGGCGUGGACCUGGGAAGAGCCGCCCAGGAUUCACGAAACACCUGCCCUUUCGAGGCACGCUGGCG